UAAUUUGAUAGGGAUUGCAUUGAAUCUGUACAUUGCUUUGGGUAGUGUGGCCAUUUUUACAAUAUUAAUUUUUCCAACCCAGGAGCAUGGGAUAUCUUUCUAUUUCUUUGAAUAUCUUUGAAUUUCUUUGAAUUUCCUUGAUUGAUGUUUUAUAGUUCUCAGCAUAUAAGUCUUUUACCUCCUUAUUCAGGUUUAUUCCUAGGUGUUUAAUUAUUUGGUGUGUGAUUUUAAAAUGUAUUGUAUUUUUUUUUUGUCUUUUUGCUAUUUCUUUGGGCUGCUCCUGCUGCAUAUGGAGGUUCCCAGGCUAGGGGUUGAAUCGGAGCUGCAGCCACUGGCCUACGCCAGAGCCACAGCAACACAGGAUCCGAGCUGCGUCUGUAACCUACACCACAGCUCACGGCAACGCCGGAUCGUUAACCCACUGAGCAAGGGCAGGGACCGAACCCGCAACCUCAUGGUUUCUAGUCAGAUUCGUUAAUCACUGCGCCAUGACGGGAACUCCUGCAUUGUAUUUUUAUAUUCCUUUUCUAGUAUUUCAUUGUUAGGAUACAGAAAUGCAACUGAUUUCUGAAUGUUAAUCUUAUAUUCUGUUAUUUUGCUGAGUUGAUCAGUUCAAGUAGUUUUUGUGUGGAGUCCUUGGGGUUUUCUAUAUACAGUAUCAUGUCAUCUGCAUACAAUGACAAUUUUACCUCUUCUCUUCCAAUUUGGAUACCUUUUAUCUCUUUUCUUUGUUUGAUUGCUGUGGCUAGGACUUCCAAUACUAUGUUGAAUAAAAGUGGUCAGAGUGGGCAUCCUUGUCUUGUUCCAGAUUUUAGCAGGAAGGAUUUCAGCUUUUCUCCACUGAGUAUUAUAUUUGCUGUGGGUUUGUCAUAAAUGGCUUUAUUAUGUUAAGGUAUUUUCUCUCUAUACCCACUUUGGUAAGAGUUUUUGUUUUGUUUUUUGUUUGUUUGUUUGUUUGUUUGUUUUUAAAUCAUGAAUGGAUGUUGGACUUUGUCAGAUGCUUUCUCUGCAUUUAUUGAGAUGAUCAUUUGGCUUUUGACUUUUCUUUUGUUAAUGUGGUGUAUGAUGUUGAUUGAUUUGAGUUUUAUGUUGAGCCAUCCUUAUGAACUUGGGAUGAAUCCCACUUGGUCGUGGCGUAUGAUCUUUUUUAUAUGUUGUUAGAUUUGGUUGGCUAAAAUUUUGUUGAGAAUUUGUCUAUAUUUCUCAAGGAUAUUGACCUACAAUUUUCUUCUUUGGUAGUAUCUUUGUCUGGCUUUGGUAUUAGGGUGAUGGUGGCUUCAUAGAAUUUCUUGGGGGGUGUUCCUUCUUCUUCAACUUUUGAAAAAUUUUAAGAAGGAUUGAUAUAGGUUCCUCUUUGUAUGUUUGGUAGAAUUUGCCUGUGAAGCCGUCUGGUCCUGGACUUUUGUUUGUAGGGAGUAUUUUUAUUAUAUAUUCUAUUUCAUUUCUAGUGACAGGUCUAUUGCUUUUCAUAAUUAGAAUACACUUACCUGUCGUAUUUUCACAGGCUGGAAUAUUGCACUCAUAUUAUUAUUUUUUUCCAUUUUCUUUUCUUUUUUUUGUUUUUGUUUGUUUUGCUUUUUAGGGCCAUACCUUAGGAAUAUGGAGGUUCCCAGGCUAGGGGUCCAAUCGGAACUAUACCACAGCUGCUGGCCUACACCACAGCCACAGCAACAUGGGAUCUGAGCCACACUUGCGACCUACACCACAGCUCACAGCAACGCCGGAUCCUUAACCCACUGAACAAGGCUAGGGAUUGAAUUGCAACCUCAUGGUUCCUAGUUGGACUCAUUUCCACUGAGCCACGAUGGGAACUCUAUCCAUUUUCCUUUAAAAUAUUCCUUUUAUUAAGUUUCUAGGCCUGCACAAGUCAGUUUUAGGCUAAAAAUAGUAUCGUUGCUGUUGCUGCCACUGUUCCAUGUGGAAAACAUAGUGAAGUGCUUUACAGAAAAGGAAAAAAAAAAUAAUUUUCUGAGUGUAUUCUUAAGAUAGUGUGAAAGCCAUGCUGACAAGGAGCCCCUUAACUGCCAGUGGACUAAGAUUUCCUCCACCAAUUUCAUGGCUUUUAAUAGUUUUCUACCAGUUGGACAGAAAGCAGGAUUCCUCAGAUUCCUUCUACCCAACACAUUGCUUAUAAGAGAGGUGAAGGGCGGAAAAUGAAGAAUUAGACUCAAGGUUGGCAAACUAUAGUUUGUGGGCCAAAUCCAGCACACCACCUGUUUCAUAAAGAAAAGGAAAAAAUUGGAACACAGCCAUUCUCAUUCUUUUGUGCAGUGUCUGCGGCUGCAGAGUUGAGUAGCUGUAACAGAGAUCACAUGGUCUGCAAAGCCUAAAAUACAUACUGCCUGGUUCUUUACAGAAUAGGUUUGUUGACGCCUGAGUUGAGUAUGUGAUAAUGGAUAAUUUAUUCAGACCUCUCAUAAAAAUGAGAAAAAUGGAGAUGCUAAAGUUAUUGGUAGUGAAGGGUUCCAUGUUGGACACUUAGGACAGACUGAAGAAGAGAAAUUGAUGGGCUCUGGCCAACAAGCCUCUCCUGGACUAGGGCAGGGCUAGCAGAUAGGAAUUGCUAGUGGUGUAAUGUCUACAAUGUUCAAUGUACAAGGGAGGCAGAGUCAUGAUUCUAAAAGUUUCUGAUGUGGAGGAGCUCACAGGGAUGGCACUGGGCAUUGAACCAGAGUAGAGGAAUCAGUGCUAGGUACCUGGGUCCCCCAUGUGAGGACAUGGAGAACUAGGUAGAAUUUCCAGCAACAAAGGUGCAUGGACCCUGGGGGCUGGAGCAUAUAAGGUAGUAACUCAGAAUACAAAUCCUGGUACAUGGGGGAAUCCAGAAAUUAGAGCUGGUGAAAUAGCUACAAGCAUGAGGUUCAGUGCGGGUGAAAUGAGUACAUAAAUAAGAAAAAAAUUCUUGAAAUCUGUAUCACUCAGGGUGCCAGUGAGAAACAUAGGGUGCCUUCAAGUGAAGAUAACGUGAGAAGAGUACUAGGGCUCGUCUGUGUGAUGGACAGAAUAUGGCAGAAGUGAUGGUUUGUUACCUUGGAGACUAGGUUAUAAAGAACUGCUUCUGUCUUGGGAUCUUUCUUUCUCCCUGAGACCAUUCUCAAGAAACUCAUACAGGGUGCAUGAAUUCAGGAGAAAUGAUCACUAAUCUCCCAGUCCUCCCAUUUUCCUACCCUUGGCUCAGAGGAGUUGUAGUCAGAGAUGAGAUCUUUUAUAGUCUAGUCUCCCCCUCCCCACCCACUCCCCAUCCCCAGAUUCCCAUCCGUGAAAAUAAAACCAACUUCCUCUUAGCCCUUUUCACUCAAGACAGUAAUGAUAGAAGUGCUGGGGGUGAGAUCCUGGGGAUGGUCCUUUAAGAUGAUUUCUUUUGAAGAGAAAAAGUGUUCUAAGCACUAUUGCCUCAACUAUUUGAUCCUGCUUUGGGGGAAAGUUAAAUAAAUUUGGACACUAUUCUGGCUGGAUUAGGUUGGCCAGCAUGAAGCUAUCCUUUGAAUAAUAAUGCAGUUUGAGCCAAAAAUGCAUUCUCUUUCUGAACCAGAAAAAUUAGAAUGGACUUGAUUUAUAUGUUUCCAAGGGGAUAAAAACUAUCUCCAGAAAACCGUUUUACCUUUUGCAUCCAACUUCCAUUUUUAGAUAAUCACAUACACAAAACCUUAAAACAUUGUGUCUUUUGACUUCCUCAUCUAUGAGUACCAAGUGUCAUGGUACUUGGGAGUCAUUUUCCAAAGUCCACAUUUUAACCACAGAAAUUUAUUUUUGGCUGUGUAUUUAUUCAUUCACUCUUUAAACAUUUACUGAAUAUAUACCACUUGCUUACUUUCAUGCGGCAUCAAGGGCAUAGAAAAAAUAAAUCUCUGCCUUUGAAAGGCUCAAACCAACCUAGGUUGGGGGCAAGUCAGACAUAAAAAAAGAACGUGAUGUGCUGAGAAUGGCAAUAAGAGUGCUUGGAAAGGGUUAUGGGGAUAGUUUUAUAGAAGUUUUUGAUAUUCACAGAAACAUUUUGAUUAUUAUAAUAAUCACUAGUCUAGCCCUUAUAGUCAUGGCUUAGCAUUUUUACUGAAGCAAAAAAGAUUGCUAUAUACUUGGAAUUUCUACAAGAAGAAAAAAUUAUAAAUCUAUUUGUCUCAUUAGGGUGGUAUUUGAAAAUAACCAAAAUUAUAGUUAGAACACAGUUCAAAUACAAAUGCUAAAUGUGUCUCAUAAUUAUUAGACAAUAUUCAGAGCACAGCUUAAACACAUACUGCAUCACCAUAGACUUGUUCUAUUAUCUCAGCAAUAUAUAACCUAAUGGAAUUACUUUCAUAUGAUUUUCUAGGAUCCAAGAUAUCACUGUGGCAUCUAGAGUUUUGGAAAGUUUUAUGUUUAAACAUUGUAUCUAUUACUGGUUUUUAUUAAUUUUGUAUUUUUUAUAUUGAUACUAUAUUCGAACAGCUAGUUCUUUAAAAUAUUUAAUAGCUACUUCUCUCCCGCAAAAUUCAUACAUAGCCAGGCAACAAUACUCAGUUAUUUUGCUGAUAUAGGAUGUGGUUGUUUGUUGGUGGAGAGAGGUGCAAACUUUAGGAAUUGUUCACUGGGUAGGGGGAUGACUGCUAAGGCUGAAAUCUGAAUUUAAGGAGUGUUGAAAAAUAUCUGCAGCCUCUGAGAUUCUUACCAUCAAUUUCUCUCAAAACCAUCUGCAGAUUUGUGCAUAUUAAUUGGCUUCGGGCAUUCUGUUACCUAGGAGGAGUAACACAUUAGAUAGCUAAAAUUAGAAGGAAGGCAAAAAAAAAGUGAAAAUACAAAGCCUGGUUAGCCAAUGUCUGUAGAGCAUUACAGCAGGAGACUCUGACUGCCAAACAGGAGGGGUCCUUAAUCCCUGUGAGGUGUGAGUGGUAAAAAGUGCCUUGGGCAUGUGUUACUGAAAACCUAUGCUACCUCCCACUUGAGUCUGGACCUAAGUAUGAAAGGGUGAGGGUUGGGGUUAUUCGCCAUUCACACUGCCACACAGCUUUAGAGCAAGCUUUUCACUUCGUGGAUUUGAAUACCUCAGUGAUCAGGGUGAUUGUGAGGGGGUGAUGGAGGAACAAAAGGAAAAUUGGAAGGCAGUUGGUUUUCAUCUGUUUUAUUUGUUUAAGCAUGUGGCGGGGGAGGGGGGGGAGUAGCAACAACAGCCAGCCUUUAAAAAACAUCAUAAUAAUGAAAAUGUUAACAACCAAAUUAAUAAAAGUUGCAGAGAGCUUGCUGUGUAAUAGGCACUGUGUGCUGUGUUUUAUGUACAUUAUCUCAUUGAGUGUCACUGGUACUUGCCCCACUCUCCACAAGCAGUAAAAAUCUCUUCCAGAACUGCUGUACACCCUCUUAAUAGCAGCACCAUAAAGGGAUCCCACCUAAUUUGCAAUUCCAAAUGUAUCAAGUCUCCUUGACCUUAUUAGAGCUUUGACAACGUGGGCAUCAGGGGAGGGGCAUGCCUUUCCUCCUCACCCAGGGGCAGGUACAGACAACACUGAUAGUGCAGCCUGUCCAGGCAGCGUUGGAGGAAGGGCCUCAGUACCCUACAACUGACUGAGGGGUCUGCAAAGUUGAGACCUGCACUCACCCCCACCCCCUUUCUCUGUCCCAGGUCCAUCUACUACUUGGAUUCAGAGCCCAUACUCACCUUGGGCUUACACAGUGCCAGGUAGGGGAGAAUGGCUUUCAUGCCUCAAGGCCCUACCAAUGCCAACACCCUGAGAUUCUGGUGAACACUAGUCAUUGUUAUGAAGGGAAAGUGAUGCAAGCAGAUCUGUCUUGGAUGCCUUCCAAGAAGCCUGGUGCCAAGGGGAAGGCUUGAGAAAAAAACGGCAUGGAAGUAGGAGCCCCAAAUAUGGUGAGUGGGGUGAGCUGUUCACUCUAGGGACCUUGCUGCUUUUCAGAAGGACCUGAUCUCUUCUACCUGGUGGGCAGACUCAGACCCAUUGUCCUGUAAACAAAGAGAUGCUGCAGUUCUGCUCUUUUUGAGGAACUGCUGAGUGAAGGAACAGGCCACUAACACCCAGGGCACUUUUGCUUUUUAAACCCCCCCCAUGUCUUUUCUCCUAAACUUUGCUUUUGUGGGUGGUAUUUUGACAUGCUGUUUUCUCUCCUCCAAGUGUGCUUUAGGGUUUGAUCUAAUUGUCCUGCUGUUCUGGUGUCACUUGGCAUUAUUAUUGGGAAGAUGAAUGGGACAGGGGUCAGAGUUCAGCAGGAAGGCAUCUGCUGCCUGCACUGCAUAGUAGAAGUGCUCAGAGGUGAUCUGUAAUGAAAGCUUGGAAGAGAUUUGUACAGAAUAGGCUGUCUUCUAUCCCUCUAAUGCUGGGGUGACCAAAAAGUAGAGGAACCAAAAAUGAACAAACAGGAGGUCAUGAUAUCUUUUCUAGAGGGACCAAAAAUGAACAAACAGGAGGUCAUAAUAUCUUUACAAGGAGUUCCCUGCUUGGGAUGGCUUUUCUUCUGUAGCAGAGAAAAUGGGAGGGAAAGAUGGUGAUCAAAUAUGGAGAAGGUUGAAAACAGAAGCUCUUCAAUGGGUCCUAACCACCAGCUAGUUUUGCUCAUAGAACAAUCUC
RNAcentral lists this long non-coding RNA (6554 nucleotides) under Sus scrofa (pig). RNAcentral describes it as "lncRNA (ENSSSCG00000056034.1)". The record is from RNAcentral. Lineage: Eukaryota; Metazoa; Chordata; Mammalia; Artiodactyla; Suidae.